RNAcentral lists this ribosomal RNA (484 nucleotides) under uncultured bacterium. Its description in RNAcentral is "partial 16S ribosomal RNA". It matches the Rfam family "Bacterial small subunit ribosomal RNA", at positions 28 to 507 of the family's 1533-position model. The record is from RNAcentral.
AUUGAACGCUGGCGGCAUGCUUUACACAUGCAAGUCGAACGGCAGCGCGGGCUUCGGCCUGGCGGCGGGUGGCGAACGGGUGAGUAAUGCAUCGGAACGUGCCCAGUAGUGGGGGAUAGCCCGGCGAAAGCCGGAUUAAUACCGCAUACGACCUGAGGGUGAAAGCGGGGGACCGAAAGGCCUCGCGCUAUUGGAGCGGCCGAUGUCGGAUUAGCUAGUUGGUGGGGUAAAGGCUUACCAAGGCGACGAUCCGUAGCUGGUCUGAGAGGACGACCAGCCACACUGGGACUGAGACACGGCCCAGACUCCUACGGGAGGCAGCAGUGGGGAAUUUUGGACAAUGGGGGCAACCCUGAUCCAGCCAUGCCGCGUGCGGGAAGAAGGCCUUCGGGUUGUAAACCGCUUUUGUUCGGGAAGAAAUCCUCUGGGCUAAUACCCCGGGGGGAUGACGGUACCGGAAGAAUAAGCACCGGCUAACUACGUG